Molecule: long non-coding RNA, 353 nt
Filed under: Lupinus angustifolius (narrow-leaved blue lupine)
Lineage: Eukaryota; Viridiplantae; Streptophyta; Magnoliopsida; Fabales; Fabaceae
Description: long non-coding RNA (LANG_LNC002255)
Source: RNAcentral
GUUGCACCUCCACCAUAAGCGCCUGCACCAUAGGUUCCAAAUCCACUUGUAUUGGUUCCUGUGGUUUGUGCACCAUGAGUUCCAAUUCCACUUGCAUGGGUCCCUGAAGUUGGUACACCAUGGGUUCCAGGUACACCAUGGGUUCCAAACCCACUUGUAUGGGUUCCUGUGGUUGGUACACCGUGGGUUCCAAACCCACUUGUAUGGGUCCCUGUGGUUGGUGCAAAGGUCCCUGUGGUUGGUAUACCAUGGGUCCCUGUGGUUGGUGCACCGUAGGUCCCUGUGGUUCCAGCAGUAUGGGUUCCAGUGGUAGGAAUAGUGGCUGCGACACCAGUGACAUGGACAGGAUUGCC